Fukomys damarensis (Damara mole-rat) is the source of this 688-nucleotide long non-coding RNA. RefSeq lists it as uncharacterized. The transcript has 3 exons. The record is from RefSeq and is a predicted model, not a curated record. Lineage: Eukaryota; Metazoa; Chordata; Mammalia; Rodentia; Bathyergidae.
UUUUCUGAGCCCGGCUUUAUUUAGACUGGAACCGUCUGGACCAAGUGGCAGUGGCUUGGUUGCUUUGGGGGCCUGGCUAAUCGUCGAGGUUGUUCGGUGUUCAACAUUUGACAGAGACCAUGGGUUUCUGCGGAGUUAGUGGGUGUUCUGACCCUCUCAUCUAUUCGUUUUUUUGACAUCACCUCAAAUACUUUCCUUUGCUUUUUGCUUUCCAGCUGGCCCGCAAAACAUAUACAGCAAGCAGUUCACAAAUGCUUGGGAGUCGUGAUAUCGACUUUUCAUUCAAAUUAAAAUUCACCAGGCAAUGAAGAAGGCUGGAUGAGGGUGUGUCGUCUCUUGCUUUGGGGCUGGGGAUGCGGAGAGAACCUACCCAGAGAUCAAGAGCAUUCUUCGUGAAAAUGCGCUGGAUCCAGAGCAAGAGAGCAGACACUGGAGAAAUGCAAAGCUCAGAAGCUAAGAAUGAAAGUGGGCCACAGUGACUGGGGAAGAGGAGGAAGGGCUCUGUGACAGGAGGAGGAAGGGCUCUGUGACAGGAGGAGGAAGAGCAUUUGGAGUUUAGAGCUGGAUUAUAUGUUUUUUAAGAGCAGCAACUCAGUAUUCUGACCCCCCUGCUUGUGGUGCUGAGGAUGGAAACAGAGCUUCAUUGCAUGCUGGGAUCUUCCUAAGUCUCUGCUGGGCUCCAGCUUGU